UACAGAGGUCUCGAGCGUUGUUCGGAUUCAUUGGGCGUAAAGGGCGCGUAGGCGGCGGGGUAAGUCUGGUGUGAAAUCUCGGAGCUCAACUCCGAAAUUGCACUGGAUACUGCUCUGCUAGAGGGCUGGAGAGGAGAUCGGAAUUCACGGUGUAGCAGUGAAAUGCGUAGAUAUCGUGAGGAAGACCAGAGGCGAAGGCGGAUCUCUGGACAGCUCCUGACGCUGAGGCGCGAAGGCUAGGGGAGCAAACGGG
RNAcentral lists this ribosomal RNA (253 nucleotides) under uncultured bacterium. RNAcentral's name for it is "partial 16S ribosomal RNA". It matches the Rfam family "Bacterial small subunit ribosomal RNA", at positions 524 to 776 of the family's 1533-position model. The record is from RNAcentral.